RNAcentral lists this transfer RNA (67 nucleotides) under Schistosoma mansoni. The record is from RNAcentral. Lineage: Eukaryota; Metazoa; Platyhelminthes; Trematoda; Strigeidida; Schistosomatidae.
UCAAACAAACAAUACUAAGUGAAUUCACACUUCACCCCAUCGCACAUGCAAGUGGCUAUCAGGACUC